AUCAUUGUCGUGACCCUGGCCAAAAGCGACAGACCGCGCACGCGUAAUCCAGCCUGCUGAGCGGCGGCACUCUAAACCGCCAAGGAAUGUAAAAAAGACUACCCAUGCUAGACCCAUUUACUUGGGAAUAUGUGUUGGUGUUAGUUUUCAGUAAAAAUAACGACUCUCGACAACGGAUAUCUCGGCUCUCGCAUCGAUGAAGAACGUAGCAAAAUGCGAUACUUGGUGUGAAUUGCAGAAUCCCGUGAACCAUCGAGUUUUUGAACGCAAGUUGCGCCUAAAGCCAUUAGGUUGAGGGCACGUCUGCCUGGGCGUCUCGCUUCGUGUCGCCCCAUUUCAUCUCAUUUUCGUUUCUUUGAGGGAGAUGAGUGUUUUGGGACGUAUAUUGGCCUCCUGUGCAUAUUUAUGGAGCAGUUGGCCGAAAUAGAAGUCCAUAUGAUAGGACACACGGUUAGUGGUGGUUGAGAAACUGUUUCGAUCCCGUGUUACUUCUUUUGGACUUAUUGACCCUUGGUGCUUCUUUUAUGGUGCAUCGACUGCGACCCCAGGUCAGGCGGGAUUACCCGCUGAG
RNAcentral lists this ribosomal RNA (571 nucleotides) under embryophyte environmental sample. Its description in RNAcentral is "eukaryotic LSU rRNA". The stretch from base 162 to 317 matches the Rfam family "5.8S ribosomal RNA". Lineage: Eukaryota; Viridiplantae; Streptophyta. The record is from RNAcentral.